RNAcentral lists this ribosomal RNA (468 nucleotides) under uncultured bacterium. Its description in RNAcentral is "partial 16S ribosomal RNA". It matches the Rfam family "Bacterial small subunit ribosomal RNA", at positions 28 to 507 of the family's 1533-position model. The record is from RNAcentral.
GACGAACGCUGGCGGCGUGCUUAACACAUGCAAGUCGAACGGACAGGCCCUGCUUUUGUGGGGUGCUCGAGUGGCGAACGGGUGAGUAACACGUGAGUAACCUGCCCUUGACUUUGGGAUAACUUCAGGAAACUGGGGCUCAUACCGGAUAGGAGCUCCUGCUGCAUGGUGGUGGUUGGAAAGUUUCGGCGGUUGUGGAUGGACUGGCGGCUUAUCAGCUUGUUGGUGUGGUAGUGGCUUUCCAAGGCUUUGACGGAUAGGCGGCCUGAGAGGGGGAACGGCCACAAUGGGACUGAGAGACGGCCCAGAAUGCUACGGGAGGCAGCAGGGGGGAAUAUUGCACAAUGGGCGGAAGCGUGAGGCAGCAACGCCGCGUGCGGGAUGACGUCCUUCGGGUUAUAAACCGCUUUCGCCUGUGACGAAGCGUGAGUGACGGUAAUGGGUAAAGAAGCACCGGCUAACUACGUG